Molecule: unclassified non-coding RNA, 329 nt
Filed under: soil metagenome
Description: partial contains 5.8S ribosomal RNA, internal transcribed spacer 2, and large subunit ribosomal RNA
Rfam family: 5.8S ribosomal RNA (bases 1-120)
Source: RNAcentral
GAUGAAGAACGUAGCGAAAUGCGAUAAGUAAUGUGAAUUGCAGAAUUCAGUGAAUCAUCGAAUCUUUGAACGCACAUUGCGCCCCCUGGUAUUCCGGGGGGCAUGCCUGUCCGAGCGUCAUUACAACCCUCAAGCUCAGCUUGGUGUUGGGCCCCGCCGCCCCGGCGGGCCCGAAAGUCAGUGGCGGUGCCGUCCGGCUCCGAGCGUAGUAAUUCUUCUCGCUCUGGAGGUCCGGUCGUGUGCUCGCCAGCAACCCCCAAUUUUUUUCAGGUUGACCUCGGAUCAGGUAGGGAUACCCGCUGAACUUAAGCAUAUCAAUAAGCGGAGGA